GAUGAACGCUGGCGGCGUGCCUAAUACAUGCAAGUCGAGCGAACGGACGAGAAGCUUGCUUCUCUGAUGUUAGCGGCGGACGGGUGAGUAACACGUGGAUAACCUACCUAUAAGACUGGGAUAACUUCGGGAAACCGGAGCUAAUACCGGAUAAUAUUUUGAACCGCAUGGUUCAAAAGUGAAAGACGGUCUUGCUGUCACUUAUAGAUGGAUCCGCGCUGCAUUAGCUAGUUGGUAAGGUAACGGCUUACCAAGGCAACGAUGCAUAGCCGACCGGAGAGAGUGAUCGGCCACACUGGAACUGAGACACGGUCCAGACUCCUACGGGAGGCAGCAGUAUGGAACCUUCCGCAAUGGUCGAAAGCAUGACGGAGCAACGCGGCGUGAGUUAUGAAGGUCUUGCGAUCGUAAAACUCUGUUAUUAGGGAAGAACAUAUGUGUAAGUAACUGUGCACAUCGUGACGGUACCUAAUCAGAAAGCCACGGCUAACUACGUG
RNAcentral lists this ribosomal RNA (497 nucleotides) under uncultured bacterium. RNAcentral describes it as "partial 16S ribosomal RNA". It matches the Rfam family "Bacterial small subunit ribosomal RNA", at positions 28 to 507 of the family's 1533-position model. The record is from RNAcentral.